UACGUAGGGGGGCAAGCGUUGUCCGGAUUUAUUGGGCGUAAAGAGCGUGUAGGCGGCCUGAAAGGUCAGCUGUGAAAACUCGAGGCUCAACCUCGAGACGUCGGUUGAAACCAUCUGGCUAGAGUCCGGAAGAGGAGUGUGGAAUUCCCGGUGUAGCGGUGAAAUGCGCAGAUAUCGGGGAAGAACACCCGGUGGCGAAGGCGGCACUCUGGGACGGUACUGACGCAUGAGACGCGAAAGCGUUGGGGGAGCGAACAGG
Molecule: ribosomal RNA, 259 nt
Filed under: uncultured bacterium
Lineage: Bacteria
Description: partial 16S ribosomal RNA
Rfam family: Bacterial small subunit ribosomal RNA
Source: RNAcentral